This 1158-nucleotide long non-coding RNA is filed under the name Arabidopsis lyrata. Its description in RNAcentral is "long non-coding RNA (ALYR_LNC001654)". Lineage: Eukaryota; Viridiplantae; Streptophyta; Magnoliopsida; Brassicales; Brassicaceae. The record is from RNAcentral.
UUGUGAAAUUUUAGAAUUUUAUUUUAAAUUAGGUUCUUAAAACAAUUGGGAAAUACUUAUUUUAUCAAUGGCUGGUCAUCAAAAUACUUGUGGAAAGAGGGAAUGAAAUCGUUCUCUUUCUAUUUCUCUCUCUUCUCUCUCCUGCGACACAAAAACUAGAUCUAGGGUUUUCCUUUUUUUUUGCCUUUUGUGCUUCAUUGCCGGCGAUGGGUCAACACAUGGAAGCAAGAGUGAGAUCUUCCUCCUUUCCGGUAGUGAUGUGGUGUGGAAGAUCCGGUUCUCGAUGCAAUUAGGCGGCAGAUUUCCGGUAGUUUUGGGAUGGAUUCCAGUUGAUCCACGUUCUGGUUUAAGGACGCCAGACGAAUCAACGAAUCACGGAUCUAUCUUGUGGCUCAACUUGUCUGGUUCGAUGUUGCGGUUGCGGGGGAAGUUGAGAAGCGGCUUGGUGGGGUUCACUGCUUGUUAUGGCGAUUAACGGCGGAUCCUUCUGGAUCUGGGAUGGCUAAGCACGAAGUUCGGCUGGUGGGUGUUCGUAUGACCCAGCGACCUUAUCAGCGGUCGUGAUUGGUAUUCGCCUGACCGGUUUGAGGAUGGCUAGAUCUCAGGCGAGUUUCAAGAGUGAGUUCAUUGGAAAGGAGGGUUAGUUUUCGCAUUCUCUCUUCUUGCUAGGUUGGGGAGAUGAGAGAAGGGGUCUCGGUUUUGGCGGAUCUACCCUUUCUGAGAGGAUUGUUCUAGGUUUGAUUUAUUUUCCGACGCUGAUUUGCGGCGGAAGCGCUAACUCCAGUUAGGGCCUGGUGUCUGGAGCAUGGUUGCAAAGGAGUGAUCCUUGUUAGCGUCAGAUCUAAUGGGUGAGACUCGUUUUCCGGUGUACCGCUAGUUCUCAGAUCUCUUUUUUGGUGGGCUCCGAUUUGAGCUUUUCCUAUUUUGUACCUGUGUAAUUGUAUUGGUCCAUAAGCCAAAGCCCAAGUUUUGGGAUGAUUAAUCAAAUUUAACUUUGUUGAAAAAAGAAAAGAAAAAAAGAAAUACCGAUUAUAUCAAUCGAUUUUUGGUUCGUCCUACAUAUGUUAUGUUUUGCUUUAAAGUUCUUUAAGAACUUACUGCAAAGCUAACAAGUAUUUUUCUAAACUAUUGGUGGAGGUCCAGGGAGAGUACUUGAGG